RNAcentral lists this long non-coding RNA (822 nucleotides) under Vitis vinifera (wine grape). RNAcentral's name for it is "long non-coding RNA (VVIN_LNC005689)". Lineage: Eukaryota; Viridiplantae; Streptophyta; Magnoliopsida; Vitales; Vitaceae. The record is from RNAcentral.
AUCUAUGAUCCUGGAAACAAAAACGUUCACCUUCGAAACCAACUUUUUGCAUCUCUUUCUCACUCCUUGCAAGUCCAACCACCCGAGAAGCGGUAAGUGGUCACUCCAGUUGAAUAUACCAAGCAGUUCGUACCCUUCACUCACCAGGCUCUCAAGCUCAACCGCAUCACCAGAAACACCUUUUCCAAAGUCGUAGCUCCUUCCAAACACGCUCAUCAUCACAUUGUUCAAAGACCCAAAAUGCAACACUUUCUUCACCUUCACCUCACCUUUCUUCUCCAUCAAAACCCUAAUCUCAUCCACCAUUUUCAACCCAAUAGUCCUCCGAAACUCCCCGAAACCAGCGAUUCUCCUCGGACUGAACAAAUGGGUGGCCGAAAUCCUCCUCAGAUUUCUCCAGUACACCCCGAACGGAGCAAAACCCAUUGCUCGGUGGAAUAAAAGCUCAUAAGCCGACUCCUUCACUGGUCGGUCCGCGAACGCCGAACUGUUCAGAAUCUCCUUGGCUGUUUCCGGUUGGCUGGAGAUAAUGAAACGAGUAAAGCCAACCGAAAAAGCCAUCAAUGGCGCAGCUUCAGAAACACGAGCCAGCUUGGCCAGAACCCUAUGAGUCAGAGAGCCAGUGAAGGCGAAAACAAGACCUAUCAGAGGUAACCCAGAAGGGCCAGGAAUGGCGCUACGUGCUUUAGCCUUGGACAUAGCCCAAGCUAAACCACCAGGCACAAGCCAGAAACCAAAGACGCCAACGAACAAAACCACACACAAGAACAGUUCCAAACUUAGAACUGGCGAGGACCCAGUUCCCGGAACGAACGAAAAGUA